CCAUAUGCCCUUCCUUCUUCCAAGCUAUGUGGUCCUUGAUCAUUUGUACCAAUAUCAAGAUCCCUGUAAUUCAAAUAGGCUUGUCUUGGGUUCUUUGAAACAAAUGGGGUCAUAAAACUGUAUAAAUCUCUUAUCUGUGAAAGGUACUCUUUUUCUGCAGCUGCACCUUCUUCGUUCCAAUUCACUGAGUACUGAAUCUUGAAUAGAAUCCCUGCUCUGUGUGGUAAGGUACUCUUUUUCUGCAGCUGCUCCUUCUUCGUUCCAAUUCACUGAGUACUGAAUCUUGAAUAGAAUUCCUGCUCUGUGUGGAAAUGGUGUUUCGCCCUCGGCAAUUUCAGCCAUUCUCCCUCCGUAAGGAUUGAACACUAAUCCCGCUUU
This 378-nucleotide long non-coding RNA is filed under the name Nicotiana benthamiana. Its description in RNAcentral is "long non-coding RNA (NBEN_LNC003107)". The record is from RNAcentral. Lineage: Eukaryota; Viridiplantae; Streptophyta; Magnoliopsida; Solanales; Solanaceae.